RNAcentral lists this unclassified non-coding RNA (204 nucleotides) under Hevea brasiliensis (rubber tree). Lineage: Eukaryota; Viridiplantae; Streptophyta; Magnoliopsida; Malpighiales; Euphorbiaceae. The record is from RNAcentral.
UUCGGAUCCGCCCACUCAGCGCCACGGAGAUAUCUCUCCAAUGGUACAACAAGUGUGUGAGGCAGGAUAGCUGUCAGAUGGUCACUUGGACGGGGCACCCAGAGAAUCGGUUCACCUUCGAUCUGGUCGCUGACGAGCAUGUCAGCCAGGUGAGAUCCAUUUCUCGCUUUGAGUAGUAUGUUAACACUUGUGGUUGCACAUCAG